Molecule: ribosomal RNA, 391 nt
Filed under: uncultured bacterium
Lineage: Bacteria
Description: bacterial SSU rRNA
Rfam family: Bacterial small subunit ribosomal RNA
Source: RNAcentral
AUUGAACGCUGGCGGAAUGCUUUACACAUGCAAGUCGGGCGGCAGCGCGGGGGCAACCCUGGCGGCGAGCGGCGAACGGGUGAGUAACACAUCGGAACGUACCCUGUCGUGGGGGAUAACGAAUCGAAAGAUUCGCUAAUACCGCAUACGACCUGAGGGUGAAAGCGGGGGAUCGCAAGACCUCGCGCGAGAGGAGCGGCCGAUGGCGGAUUAGCUAGUUGGUGGGGUAAAGGCCCACCAAGGCGACGAUCCGUAGCGGGUCUGAGAGGACGGCCCGCCACACUGGGACUGAGACACGGCCCAGACUCCUACGGGAGGCAGCAGUGGGGGAAUUUUGGACAAUGGGGGCAACCCUGAUCCAGCCAUUCCGCGUGAGUGAAGAAGGCCUCGG